AAAAAGAUAAGCUAAGCAAGCUAGUAGGCUCAUAACCUUUAUAUGGGAGUAUAUAAUCCUCCCUCUUUUUA
RNAcentral lists this transfer RNA (71 nucleotides) under Psolodesmus mandarinus. RNAcentral describes it as "tRNA-Met". It matches the Rfam family "tRNA". Rfam says of the family: Transfer RNA (tRNA) molecules are approximately 80 nucleotides in length. Their secondary structure includes four short double-helical elements and three loops (D, anti-codon, and T loops). Lineage: Eukaryota; Metazoa; Arthropoda; Insecta; Odonata; Calopterygidae. The record is from RNAcentral.